Molecule: small RNA, 125 nt
Filed under: Marmota monax (woodchuck)
Lineage: Eukaryota; Metazoa; Chordata; Mammalia; Rodentia; Sciuridae
Source: RNAcentral
GCUGGGCGCGGUGGCACACGCCUGUAAUCCCAGUGGCUCAGGAGGCUGGGGCAGGAGGAUCACAAGUUCAAAGCCAGCCUAGGCAAAAGCAAGGUGCUAAGCAACCCAGUGAGACCCUGUCUCUA